GAUGAACGCUGGCGGCGUGCCUAAUACAUGCAAGUCGAGCGAACAGACGAGGAGCUUGCUCCUCUGACGUUAGCGGCGGACGGGUGAGUAACACGUGGAUGACCUACCUAUAAGACUGGGAUGACUUCGUGAAACCGGAGCUAAUACCGGGUAAUAUAUUGAACCGCAUGGUUCAAUAGUGAAAGACGGGUUUGCUGUCACUUAUAGAUGGAUCCGCGCCGCAUUAGCUAGUUGGUAAGGUAACGGCUUACCAAGGCAACGAUGCGUAGCCGACCUGAGAGGGUGAUCGGCCACACUGGAACUGAGACACGGUCCAGACUCCUACGGGAGGCAGCAGUAGGGAAUCUUCCGCAAUGGGCGAAAGCCUGACGGAGCAACGCCGCGUGAGUGAUGAAGGUCUUCGGAUCGUAAAGCUCUGUUAUUAGGGAAGAACAAAUGUGUAAUUAACUAUGCACGUCUUGACGGUACCUAAUGAGAAAGCCCCGGCUAACUACGUG
This 497-nucleotide ribosomal RNA is filed under the name uncultured bacterium. RNAcentral describes it as "partial 16S ribosomal RNA". It matches the Rfam family "Bacterial small subunit ribosomal RNA", at positions 28 to 507 of the family's 1533-position model. The record is from RNAcentral.